This 253-nucleotide ribosomal RNA is filed under the name uncultured bacterium. RNAcentral describes it as "partial 16S ribosomal RNA". It matches the Rfam family "Bacterial small subunit ribosomal RNA", at positions 524 to 776 of the family's 1533-position model. The record is from RNAcentral.
UACAGAGGGUGCGAGCGUUGUCCGGAAUUACUGGGCGUAAAGGGCGCGCAGGCGGCCUUAGAAGUCAGAUGUGAAAGCCCCGGGCUCAACCUGGGAAUGGCAUUUGAUACUCUGAGGCUGGAGUACGGGAGAGGAGAGUGGAAUUCCCAGUGUAGAGGUGAAAUUCGUAGAUAUUGGGAAGAACACCGGUGGCGAAGGCGGCUCUCUGGACCGUAACUGACGCUGAGGCGCGAAAGCGUGGGGAGCAAACAGG